GGGUGCACCGCCGACCGACCCCGAUCUUCUGUGAAGGGUUCGAGUGCGAGCAUACCUGUUGGGACCCGAAAGAUGGUGAACUAUGCCUGAGCAGGGUGAAGCCAGAGGAAACUCUGGUGGAGGCCCGUAGCGAUACUGACGUGCAAAUCGUUCGUCUGACUUGGGUGUAGGGGCGAAAGACUAAUCGAACCGUCUAGUAGCUUAGGAAAUUCGGAGAAGUCGGCGGGGGCCCCGGGAAGAGUUAUCUUUUCUUUUUAACAGCCUGCCCACCCUGAAAUCGGUUCAUCCGGAGAUAGGGUCCAGCGGCUGGAAGAGCAUCGCACGUCUGCGGUGUCCGGUGCCCCCGGCGGCCCUUGAAAAUCCGGAGGACGGAAAAGGAUUGGCUUUGAGGGCUGGGCCUAGGGGUCUNGUGCCUCGAGCUCGUGGGCUGUCGGUGGUCUGCCCGAGCUGCUUUGCGUGUCGAUCGGGUGACGGUGCGGGGGCUUUUCCCUAGGCGGCGAACAGUCGACUCAGAACUGGUGCGGACAAGGGGAAUCCGACUGUUUAAUUAAAACAAAGCAUUGCGAUGGU
Molecule: ribosomal RNA, 570 nt
Filed under: Cycas revoluta
Lineage: Eukaryota; Viridiplantae; Streptophyta; Cycadopsida; Cycadales; Cycadaceae
Description: eukaryotic LSU rRNA
Rfam family: Eukaryotic large subunit ribosomal RNA
Source: RNAcentral